RNAcentral lists this ribosomal RNA (269 nucleotides) under uncultured bacterium. RNAcentral's name for it is "partial 16S ribosomal RNA". It matches the Rfam family "Bacterial small subunit ribosomal RNA", at positions 793 to 1055 of the family's 1533-position model. The record is from RNAcentral.
GUCCACACUGUAAACGAUGAUCACUCGAUGUUGGUUUUGCUUUGCAAAAUCAGUGUCUGAGCUAACGCGUUAAGUGAUCCGCCUGGGGACUACGGUCGCAAGGCUAAAACUCAAAGGAAUUGACGGGGGCCCGCACAAGCGGUGGAACAUGUGGUUUAAUUCGACACUACGCGAGGAACCUUACCUAGGCUUGACAUGCUUCUGACAUCCGUAGAAAUACGGCUUUUUAGGUUUCCUAAACAGUUGCACAGGUGCUGCAUGACUGUCGU